GGCGUUAAGUUGCAGGGUAUAGACCCGAAACCCGGUGAUCUAGCCAUGGGCAGGUUGAAGGUUGGGUAACACUAACUGGAGGACCGAACCGACUAAUGUUGAAAAAUUAGCGGAUGACCUGUGGCUGGGGGUGAAAGGCCAAUCAAACCGGGAGAUAGCUGGUUCUCCCCGAAAGCUAUUUAGGUAGCGCCUCGUGAAUUCAUCUCCGGGGGUAGAGCACUGUUUCGGCUAGGGGGCCAUCCCGGCUUACCAACCCGAUGCAAACUGCGAAUACCGGAGAAUGUUAUCACGGGAGACACACGGCGGGUGCUAACGUCCGUCGUGAAGAGGGAAACAACCCAGACCGCCAGCUAAGGUCCCAAAGUCAUGGUUAAGUGGGAAACGAUGUGGGAAGGCCCAGACAGCCAGGAUGUUGGCUUAGAAGCAGCCAUCAUUUAAAGAAAGCGUAAUAGCUCACUGGUCGAGUCGGCCUGCGCGGAAGAUGUAACGGGGCUAAACCAUGCACCGAAGCUGCGGCAG
Molecule: ribosomal RNA, 519 nt
Filed under: Salmonella enterica
Lineage: Bacteria; Pseudomonadati; Pseudomonadota; Gammaproteobacteria; Enterobacterales; Enterobacteriaceae
Description: partial 23S ribosomal RNA
Rfam family: Bacterial large subunit ribosomal RNA
Source: RNAcentral